Molecule: microRNA, 20 nt
Filed under: Mus musculus (house mouse)
Lineage: Eukaryota; Metazoa; Chordata; Mammalia; Rodentia; Muridae
Description: mmu-miR-6901-5p
Source: miRBase by way of RNAcentral
UGCAGGAAUGCAGAGGACCU